This is a long non-coding RNA of Salvia splendens (bonfire salvia), 354 nucleotides long. RefSeq lists it as uncharacterized. The transcript has 2 exons. Lineage: Eukaryota; Viridiplantae; Streptophyta; Magnoliopsida; Lamiales; Lamiaceae. The record is from RefSeq and is a predicted model, not a curated record.
CUUAAUAAAUAGGCCAUCUCAUAUCUGCAUUUGAUGCAUCCAUUGUACACUAGAAAUGUUGAGGAACAAGAGCUUGGCGGUCGCUCUGACAUGGAUGCUGCUAGCUGCAUUCCUCGUCCUUUGUUCGUGUGCAGCAGCUAGCACGAAACCUGCUGAACGCGUCGUGCAUCCACAAGCCCCUAAUCACCUGCGCCAGAGUCUGCUGCGGCAAAAGCUGCUGCUAACAUCAAAACCAGCCCAGAAAAACUACAAGUGAAGAAUGUGUUGCUAUCAUAUGUAUCUUGAAACUGAAUGUGAUGCAUUGUACUAUAACUUAAGAAUACGGUAUCAAAUAGAAUAAAAAUUUUCAAUAAA